CCUACGGGUGGCAGCAGUGGGGAAUAUUGCGCAAUGGGCGAAAGCCUGACGCAGCGACGCCGCGUGAGGGAUGAAGGCUCUCGGAUUGUAAACCUCUGUCAGAAGGGAAGAAAAUAUAGCAUGCUAAUCAGUGGUGUAUUGACGGUACCUUCAAAGGAAGCACCGGCUAACUCCGUGCCAGCAGCCGCGGUAAUACGGAGGGUGCGAGCGUUAAUGGGAAUUACUGGGCGUAAAGGGAGCGUAGGCGGUAGGACAAGUCAAGGGUGAAAGGCGCCGGCUCAACCGUGGAACUGCCUUUGAAACUGUUAAACUGGAGUAUGUGAGAGGGCGGUGGAAUUCCUGGUGUAGGGGUGAAAUCCGUAGAUAUCAGGAGGAACAUCAGUGGCGAAGGCGGCCGACUG
This 401-nucleotide ribosomal RNA is filed under the name uncultured bacterium. RNAcentral describes it as "partial 16S ribosomal RNA". It matches the Rfam family "Bacterial small subunit ribosomal RNA", at positions 338 to 731 of the family's 1533-position model. The record is from RNAcentral.